RNAcentral lists this ribosomal RNA (433 nucleotides) under uncultured bacterium. RNAcentral describes it as "bacterial SSU rRNA". It matches the Rfam family "Bacterial small subunit ribosomal RNA", at positions 8 to 445 of the family's 1533-position model. The record is from RNAcentral.
AGAGUUUGAUCCUGGCUCAGAUUGAACGCUGGCGGCAUGCCUUACACAUGCAAGUCGAACGGUAACAGGUCUUCGGAUGCUGACGAGUGGCGAACGGGUGAGUAAUACAUCGGAACGUGCCCGAUCGUGGGGGAUAACGGAGCGAAAGCUUUGCUAAUACCGCAUACGAUCUACGGAUGAAAGCAGGGGACCGCAAGGCCUUGCGCGGACGGAGCGGCCGAUGGCAGAUUAGGUAGUUGGUGGGAUAAAAGCUUACCAAGCCGACGAUCUGUAGCUGGUCUGAGAGGACGACCAGCCACACUGGGACUGAGACACGGCCCAGACUCCUACGGGAGGCAGCAGUGGGGAAUUUUGGACAAUGGGCGCAAGCCUGAUCCAGCCAUGCCGCGUGCAGGAUGAAGGCCUUCGGGUUGUAAACUGCUUUUGUACGGAA